This 261-nucleotide unclassified non-coding RNA is filed under the name root metagenome. Its description in RNAcentral is "partial contains small subunit ribosomal RNA, internal transcribed spacer 1, and 5.8S ribosomal RNA". The record is from RNAcentral.
UUUCCGUAGGUGAACCUGCGGAAGGAUCAUUACCGAAUUGUCAACAAGAGUUGUUGCUGGCCCCUGUAUGGGGGCACGUGCACACUCUGUUUACACAUCCACUCACACCUGUGCACUCUUUGUAGUUCUAUGGCCUGGGGGGCUCUGUCCUCCUGCUGUGGUUCUAUGUCUUUACACACACACUGUAAUAAAGUCUCAUGGAAUGUAUGUCGCGUUUAACGCAAUGAAAUACAACUUUCAGCAACGGAUCUCUUGGCUCUC